RNAcentral lists this long non-coding RNA (6142 nucleotides) under Sus scrofa (pig). RNAcentral's name for it is "lncRNA (ENSSSCG00005020580.1)". The record is from RNAcentral. Lineage: Eukaryota; Metazoa; Chordata; Mammalia; Artiodactyla; Suidae.
GCACCUGCCCGCCGGCUGGGCGGCGGAUACCGGCCGAGUUGAGUCGAUUUGGCUCUUGUUUUGUAAACUAGCCUUUGUCUGGUAAGUGCGGCUAAAAUACUUUAAACCCUUGUUAACCCCUGCAGUACCUUAUCUGGGGCCCACACAGGCUCUGGUUUGGAAACAAAAAGCGGGACCACCAGAUGAAAAGGGGGGCGCUUCUUUUGUGAAAGCCUGGAACAAAGGGCCCCGCGGAUUCUGGCUGGGAACCCCCCCCACAAGCCGAUUUCCGGGGCAGCAGGUCUUGUUGGGGUACUUUGAAAUGUCCCCAGUUGGCCGGCUGGGCCCUCUCCCCGGGAUUCUUCCCCUCCUCCCGCUGGAAGGUGGGGGGGCCCAGGUGAGCAGGCUGCCCCUGGGCCUCCCUUGGUGUUACUUCAGCUCGGGGCACGGAAGCAUUGCUCAGCCUGUCUUUACGGGCUGCCUCCACCUUUGGGGAUGGCAGAACCUGAGGCGCAGGCUGCUGCCUGACUCAGCCGCCCUGCCACAGGUGAGGGGGGCCCAGGGCGCAGGCUCCGACUGGCAGCCCGUGUGUCAUCUGCGUGCGGCUGCUGGCGGAUUGUGCGGGGAGUCACCACCCCGCCCGUCUGCCCCCGGGACUAGGAAGCUGUCUGCAGGCCGGGCUCUGUGAUAACAGCUACACGGAUGCGUCCCAGUGGCCCCCUAUCAGUGCCGUCCUGACCUCUGGGUGAAGGGGGGUUGCUGAGUUGGCCAUGGCCACUUUGUCUACUGCGGCAACAUGCGAAGGGGGCCUCGGGAGCCAGCCAGGAUUUUCCUUUUGGUGAACCUUAGGGGCGGUGCAGGUCUGGAGCCUGGAGCUGGUGAGCAGCCAGGGCGGUGACCCGGGGUCAGCCCCGCCUUAGGCAGGGAGGCUGGGAAGCCGGUGUCCUGGUUCCAGGCACCGUCAUUCUGUGAGGCCGGGCUCCGAGCAGGGCAGCUCGGCCGUCCCCGACGGCGCAGGCCCUGACCUGUGGGGGCCAGCUCACCGAAUCCUGGCUUGGCACAGCUGAAGAGGGUUUAUAGAUGCCCCAAGCUUGCUUUCCUACAGCUGCUGGUGACCAGGCUUCCCUAACCCAGUAAAGCCACAGCUGCCGGGUUCGUGGCCGCGGCCUGGGGAGUUCUCAGAGUUCCCCAGGUGAGUCUCACUUGCAGAGGAGACUGGGAAUCACUUCCCUAUUGGGUGAGCACAUUGAGGCCCAGAGGCAGGUGGGGGUCGCACCCACGUUCACAGCAAGAAGCAGACCCCUUCAGAAGCUCCAGCGCCCUUUGCCAAACCAUGCCUCUGGCCUUCAGUAACUUCCCGGUCUCAAGGGCAAGGUCAGACAGAGGCUGUAGAUCCACCCGAGAGAGCCUUGGAACCUUGGGGUUUCGGAGCCAAAGAAGCCUCCUACCCCUGGGUUCAGCAUCGCCGGCCAGAGAAGCCAGAGCAAAGCUGGCACAGCGCCACUCUGUGGCAUAUCUGCGUUCUGCACCUCCCAGCCGGGCACCUCCCCAGCCCACUGGGUCCCCUGAUGGCCCUCGACCCUUGGGUAGGCGAGGUCCCUGCUCCCCUGCUCUGAAGGAGGAAGGGCCUCCGGGCUUAGAGCCCCUACCUGAGAGGUGGGUGCCCACGGCUCCUACUUUGCCAGAGGAACGCAGGUGAGCGAGACCUGGCUGCUAGCGCUCUCUCUCGCCCCGGGAACGCGUAGGGGCUUGUGGAGUCAGCCAGCAAGGCAGGUUUUGCCUGGUCCCAUGCGAAGGCUUGGAAUUCCCAGUCUGGGUUAUUCGAAGUCCACAGCGGGCUGGGGUUGGGUGGUAGCGCGUUAAUUACCUGUGUUAUGGCAACACAGCAGCCUCCAAACCACAGGGCUGCGUGAAGCCGGCCGGCCCCCCUUGCCCGGCGUGCCAGCAGAGCUGUUUUCCCGAGCUGCAGGGAUCCGUGUUCCAGGUGACAUUUCAGCUUGGCCACUCGCUUCCAUUUCUCUCCUCUCUCGUCGAGUGUGGUGCGGGCCGCCGAGCCCCUGGCUCCGCUUCCCCACACUGGCCUUUCUCCCCGAUCGAGGCCACAGGCGGGAGGGGACGUGUUCCUGUCAGUGAGAAUUUAUUGAGCGCCUGCUGUGAACCUGGCCCGCGCCGGCUGCUCGGAGGUGUACAUGCAGAUAAGACCGGAGCGCAUCCCGAGCGGCCCUUUGCACGCCUGCCAAACGGCGCGCCGGGGGCCUUUUAAUCUCGCCUCUGCAGCUUCGUUCCCCCACCAGCCUCUUGACGUGCGCCUCUGCUCCAGCAGGAUGGAACCACAGGCCUCCCUGCUCCGUGCCCUGUCCCUGCCUUUGCUGGGGCUGCUCCUCUGCCUGGCACUCUCCUGUCAGCUGCGAAGCCCGGGGUCCCUGAGACCAACCCCACCCCCCGCCGCCUCUCCCUCCCCAAAGCCUAGAGCACAUCCAGAGGGGAAGCUCCUGCAGAGCUGGGCGAAGUGAGAGCAGCCUCCGGAGAGGGUGGGGAGGCCUGGCGGGAACCAGCAUGUGCAAGCCUCUAUGGAAGAAAGGGCUUCUGGCUGAACUUGAGGCUUUGAAGGGGUCCCCGGGGGACCUGGCGGACUCUGGGAGGAACUUAACUGAGGAAGGAGAUGUGGGGGGAGCCGGAAGCCCUCAGACCAGGUGUUCAUUCUUGACUACAUUUUAGAUUCACCUGGGGACUUUUUAAACCCCCAGCCCCCCAGCCCAGGCCGCACCUGUGACCGGUGAAGACCCAAAUCUCUAGGGUUGGGGCCCGGGUAUCUGAGCUUCCAAAGCCCCAGCUGAGCUCCAAGAGCCUUCUGCUGGGGGUGGGGAGCCGUGGGUGAGGCAUCCUCGGUGGAGAGGGGGGGCUGCUGCUUCCUCAGGAGAAUUGCGGUCCCACGUGGGAGGCCAGAGUUUGCUGUUGGCCCCAGAGUUGCCCCAGGUGAGCUGCAAGCCCUUCUCCUAAAGGGGCCUUCCCGUGCGGGUUGUGCUUGGAUGGGUGGCUUCUCUGUCUCUGGAGCGCUGGCCAAGCCUUCCCUUCCUGGAACCGGUUCCUCCAGCUGGAGGUGUGAGAAGUUGCACGUUGCAUGGCUUUUUGGAAUCAAGGAUUGAGGUGACAUAAUGCAUGUCACAGGCCCGUGCCUGAACGGGUCAACAAAGAGGAAGGGCCGAAGCCCUCCGGGGGCUGGGGGAAGAGCCCGUGUCUGCUCUUAGUGGCCUGUUGGUCUGUCUCUGACCAGGGCAGUCACCUCUGGCUGAACCUGUGUGACUGGCACACUUGCGGGCCUGGGUUUUCUCUCUAAAGGAGGAAUGGCCGUGGCGCCCACGUUGUUGGGCUGUAGAGGGUUAACCGCGUUCUUAUAGAGCGCUCAGAGCAGCGCCUGGCACGGAGGGCACUCGUGGUGGGGUUUGUCAGGAAGCGCGCCAGGUCAUCCCCGACUUGGUGGCUCUAGGAGUCCUGGGAUUUUAACCGAGGACACCGGAAGGCUCGGUCCACUGCCCUCUGUGGCCUCCCAGGGGCUCCCUGGAGCCCCCACUGACCCUCCCCCUGGUGAGGCUGCAGGAACCAAAGGGUUCUUCUGGGGCCUGGCCCACUACCAGGGUCUUGGACACGCAUGGACGCGCAUACCCACCCCUCUGGGGGGACUUGCUGCCCCCUGCCCCACCCUGUGGUGGUGGGUGGGAUUGCUGGUGGUGCCUCUUCUAGCCCUGCCCUUCCUGUCCAGUUGGCACAUCUGUGCCCGCAGGCAGCAGCAAAAGGUUUCCUUCCAUCAGUUGGCUUUUGGUCAGGGAGGGCCCUAUCGACAUUGGCAGGUGGAGGCUUCUGAAGGAAAAUCCAUGUGUCAAAAGCUGAGGAGGAUCAGGCCUGCAGGCGGAGUGGGUGGGGCCUCCUUAGGGCCCCCCCGGGCGUCUCCACCAUCUCCCCCCCCACCCCCAGCUGAGCUAGGGCCCCAGGCGCCCCCUGCUGUGCCACCGGCCUGUUUGGGGACAGGAAGGAUGAGAUGUCCUGGGGUGGUUCUCACUCUGUCCUCUUGUUCCCUGAGGGUCUGGCUGGCAGGGUCGGGAUUACCCUGUUUGGCCAUCAACUGGGAGAAACAGGAGCUCAUCUGUCUGCCUCCUCUCGCCCCACGGGGGCUCACGCUGCUGCCCCCCACCAGACAUCCGUGAAGGAUAAAACCCAGGGGCAGGAACGGAUUCUUCCUGCCAGAUUUCUGGGGUCUGUUUGUCUUUGAAUGUAUUUGUGUAGCUUUUUUACGUCGGCUGUGUGGUCUCUCUCCCUUCACUUAGGCACAGAGGGACGUGCUAGACCAGACGACGGCCAAGUUGAAUACAGGUCAAGGUGAAAUUCUCCAUCAGAUGGGAACACUGGAGGGACUUCUGCAUCCCAGAGGUGGCAGGCCUGUGUGACUGCCCCCUGCCACUUCGUGGGGCGGUGGGGUGGGGGGAAGAGGUGAGCUGCCCUCAUUUCACAGGAUGAGAAAACUGAGGCUCAGAAUCGGCCCCUGAGGCUCUGUCCUCGGGGCCCUGUUUAGAGGAGCUCUUGAGAAGGAUUUCUGGCCGACCCUGCUCGGGCUCGCGGGGGAAGGGAAGUGUGGGCUGCGAUUGUCUGUUUUAGAUCAGAUUGAUGGCUGGGCCUUUCUUUUCUGGACACAGGGACGUAGCUUUUUGGAAAUAGUUGUCUCGUGAGACUCUAAGACGCGGGAGGGCUUCCUUGGUGGCACUGCUAGUGCCGGGAGCCUGUCAGCUGGGCACAGGGAGUGGGUUGUAACCACACAGCCGGUUUCCAAGUUGAAACUUGCAGGACUGCAUCGCCUCCCUCCUCGCGCGGUGCUGUGUGUCGUGGGGUGUCUGGGCUGGGCUUCUUCCAGCCUGGGCCCCGGAGGCCCCCCCGCCGUUUGGUGCUGCCGUGUUCCCAGUUCCCACGGGCGUGUUCUCACUUCAUGACAGUGACCCAUCUGUGAUCCCUUGAAUAGGUCUUGGGAGGGGAAAAGGCCGGGUGUGACGUCUUGAUGUCUUGAUGUCCUGCAUCAUUAAAAACGUUGCCAGGAAAGGGAGGUCCCGUCGUGGCGCAGUGGUUAACGAAUCCGACUAGGAACCAUGAAGUUGCGGGUUCGAUCCCUGUCUUUGCUCCUUGGGUUAAGGAUCCGGCGUUGCCGUGAGCUGUGGUGUAGGUUGCAGAUGCGGCUCGGAUCCCACGUUACUGUGGUUCUGGUGUGGGCCAGCGGCUACAGCUCCGAUUCGACCCCUAGCCUGGGAACCUCCAUAUGCCGCGGGAGCGGCCCUAGAAAAGGCAAAAAGACAAAAAACAAAAACAAAACACACACGUGGCCAGAUUCCUCCAGAAAGAGUUGUGGGGACUCGCCUUUCUACCCAUGCUGCAACCUAGACCCUUAUUUACCCGACUCUGGCUGAUUGGGGUUCCCUCUGCACCCCUCAGCCUCCAGGGCGUUCAUUCUCCCCACAAGGGAGAGAAAACCUGUCCAUCAGCCUUGAGGCUUUUGUGGCGCCAGCAGUCGAGCUCGGGGGCAGCCAGGCCCACCCCUCACCAGGUGACCUGGGAGCCCUUCGAGGUGAAGCCUGGUACCUGAGAGAGCCAAUUCUGGCCUCAGCAUCCUGCCUGGGUUCCUGGAACCCUGUGGAGGGUUUUCGUUGUUUAGGCCUAGGCAGUUGGCUGCUCAGCCACUGAUGGAUGUGGCCUGAGGACGGUAUCCGGCCUGGCCUGGCGUGUGGCAGGGUUGGGUCUAGGCAGCUCACAGGGGGUGGCUUGUGAAUGUUUUUGUGAACCUCUACUGGUGGCCCCACUCGGAAACCCAUUUUGGCUGCAGCUUAGUUGUUUUUUGUUAAGUGGGGCAGUGACUGAUGUUUGGGCAUGGUACAUAGGGCUUUGAAGAUGGUAGAGGAGCCUGAGUGAGGAAAUACCAUUAGAACUUAGAUCAUGGAGGAGUCCCCCUUGUGGCCCAGCGGGUUCCAAACCUGAGUAGUAUCCAUGAGGAUGUGGGUUCAAUCCGUGGUGUCGCUCAGUGGGUUAAGGAUCUGGUGCUGCUUUGAGCUGCAGUGUAGGUCACAGACGAGACUCGGAUCCCGAGUUGCUGUGGCUGUGGUGUAGGCCAAUAGCUGCAGGUCCGAUU